This 465-nucleotide ribosomal RNA is filed under the name uncultured bacterium. RNAcentral describes it as "partial 16S ribosomal RNA". It matches the Rfam family "Bacterial small subunit ribosomal RNA", at positions 28 to 507 of the family's 1533-position model. The record is from RNAcentral.
GACGAACGCUGGCGGCGUGCUUAACACAUGCAAGUCGAACGGAAAGGCCUUGUUCUCAGGCUACCCGAGUGGCCAACGGGCGAGUAACUCGCGGGUGAUCUGCCUUGCACUUCGGGGUAGGCCACGUAAACUAGGUCUUGCACCUACCAGAUGCCAUCUUUAGAGUGAUGGUUGGAAAGUUUUUUCGGUGUAGGAUGAGCUCGCGGCCUAUCAGCUUGUUGGUGGGGUAAUGGCCUACCAAGGCGGCGACGGGUAGCCGGCCUGAGAGGGUGGACGGCCACAUUGGGACUGAGAUACGGCCCAGACGCCUACGGGAGGCAGCAGUGGGGAAUAUUGCACAAUGGGCGCAAGCCUGAUGCAGCGACGCCGCGUGGGGGAUGACGGCCUUCGGGUUGUAAACUCCGUUCGCUAGGGACGAAGCUUUUUGUGACGGUACCUAGAUAAGAAGCACCGGCUAACUACGUG